GCAGGCGGCAGCUAUACAUGCAGUCGAACGACUCUGGUAUUGAUUGGUGCUUGCAUCAUGAUUUACAUUUGAGUGAGUGGCGAACUGGUGAGUAACACGUGGGAAACCUGCCCAGAAGCGGGGGAUAACACCUGGAAACAGAUGCUAAUACCGCAUAACAACUUGGACCGCAUGGUCCGAGCUUGAAAGAUGGCUUCGGCUAUCACUUUUGGAUGGUCCCGCGGCGUAUUAGCUAGAUGGUGGGGUAACGGCUCACCAUGGCAAUGAUACGUAGCCGACCUGAGAGGGUAAUCGGCCACAUUGGGACUGAGACACGGCCCAAACUCCUACGGGAGGCAGCAGUAGGGAAUCUUCCACAAUGGACGAAAGUCUGAUGGAGCAACGCCGCGUGAGUGAAGAAGGGUUUCGGCUCGUAAAACUCUGUUGUUAAAGAAGAACAUAUCUGAGAGUAACUGUUCAGGUAUUGACGGUAUUUAACCAGAAAGCCACGGCUAACUACGUGCCAGCAGCCGCGGUAAUACGUAGGUGGCAAGCGUUGUCCGGAUUUAUUGGGCGUAAAGCGAGCGCAGGCGGUUUUUUAAGUCUGAUGUGAAAGCCUUCGGCUCAACCGAAGAAGUGCAUCGGAAACUGGGAAACUUGAGUGCAGAAGAGGACAGUGGAACUCCAUGUGUAGCGGUGAAAUGCGUAGAUAUAUGGAAGAACACCAGUGGCGAAGGCGGCUGUCUGGUCUGUAACUGACGCUGAGGCUCGAAAGUAUGGGUAGCAAACAGGAUUAGAUACCCUGGUAGUCCAUACCGUAAACGAUGAAUGCUAAGUGUUGGAGGGUUUCCGCCCUUCAGUGCUGCAGCUAACGCAUUAAGCAUUCCGCCUGGGGAGUACGGCCGCAGGCUGAAACUCAAAGGAAUUGACGGGGGCCCGCACAAGCGGUGGGAGCAUGUGGUUUAAUUCGAAGCUACGCGAAGGACCUUACCAGGUCUUGACAUACUAUGCUAAUCUAAAAGAUCAGACGAUCCCUCGGGUACAUGGAUACAGGUGUCGCAUGGUUGUCAGUCAGCUCGUGUCGAGAGGAAUGUUUGUGUUUAAGUCCCGGCACGAGCGCAACAUUAUUAUUCAUGCAAGAAUUACAUGGCCAUUCUGGUCGAACUGCGGUGAACCAGGCGGAGUACGAAGGUAAUGACGAUCAAAUAUACGUCCGUAAUGACCUGUGGUCUCAACAGCGUUGAGCUUACGA
RNAcentral lists this ribosomal RNA (1231 nucleotides) under Lactiplantibacillus plantarum. RNAcentral describes it as "bacterial SSU rRNA". It matches the Rfam family "Bacterial small subunit ribosomal RNA", at positions 35 to 1230 of the family's 1533-position model. Lineage: Bacteria; Bacillati; Bacillota; Bacilli; Lactobacillales; Lactobacillaceae. The record is from RNAcentral.